This 75-nucleotide transfer RNA is filed under the name Dactylosporangium sucinum. RNAcentral describes it as "tRNA-Arg". Lineage: Bacteria; Bacillati; Actinomycetota; Actinomycetes; Micromonosporales; Micromonosporaceae. The record is from RNAcentral.
CCGCACGUCGGUCGGCCGGUGCGGCCCGGCCACCGCCGCCGGGAUCGCGGACGGGUCGAGGCCGUCCCUGCGGGC